This 460-nucleotide ribosomal RNA is filed under the name uncultured bacterium. RNAcentral's name for it is "partial 16S ribosomal RNA". It matches the Rfam family "Bacterial small subunit ribosomal RNA", at positions 338 to 795 of the family's 1533-position model. The record is from RNAcentral.
CCUACGGGAGGCAGCAGUGAGGAAUAUUGGUCAAUGGACGUAAGCCUGAACCAGCCAUGCCGCGUGCAGGAAGACGGCUCUAUGAGUUGUAAACCUCUUUUGUACGAGGGUAAACGCAGAUACGUGUAUCUGUCUGAAAGUAUCUUACGAAUAAGGAUCGGCUAACUCCGUGCCAGCAGCCGCGGUAAUACGGAGGAUUCAAGCGUUAUCCGGAUUUAUUGGGUUUAAAGGGUGCGUAGGCGGUCGUUUAAGUUAGAGGUGAAAUCCCGAGGCUCAACUUCAGAAUUGCCUGUGAAACUGUGCGGCUAGAGAGUAGUUGAGGUAGGCGGAAUGUAUGGUGUAGCGGUGAAAUGCAUAGAGAUCAUACAGAACACCGAUUGCGAAGGCAGCUUACCAAGCCACUACUGACGUUGAGGCACGAAAGCGUGGGGAGCGAACAGGAUUAGAUACCCGGGUAGUC